CGUGUAGGCGGCUCGGUAAGUCCGCUGUGAAAGUCCAGGGCUCAACCCUGGAAAGCCGGUGGAAACUGUCGGGCUAGAGUCCGGAAGAGGCGAGUGGAAUUCCUGGUGUAGCGGUGAAAUGCGCAGAUAUCAGGAGGAACACCAAUAGCGAAGGCAGCUCGCUGGGACGGUACUGACGCUGAGACGCGAAAGCGUGGGGAGCAAACAGGAUUAGAUACCCUGGUAGUCCACGCCGUAAACGAUGGGCACUAGGUGUGGGGGGGUGUCGACUCCCUCCGUGCCGACGCUAACGCAUUAAGUGCCCCGCCUGGGGAGUACGGCCGCAAGGCUAAA
Molecule: ribosomal RNA, 333 nt
Filed under: uncultured bacterium
Lineage: Bacteria
Description: bacterial SSU rRNA
Rfam family: Bacterial small subunit ribosomal RNA
Source: RNAcentral